Molecule: long non-coding RNA, 258 nt
Organism: Etheostoma spectabile (orangethroat darter)
Lineage: Eukaryota; Metazoa; Chordata; Actinopteri; Perciformes; Percidae
Exons: 2
Source: RefSeq, a predicted model, not a curated record
UCAAAUUUCCAGAAACACCAUGUUGGGGUAUGAUGAAAAGGGAAAGCUUAGACAACAUUAGAUCAUUCAUAGGUCACAGGUCAGGGGACCAGAAUAUUUGGCUAGUCUCUAACAACUAAACCUCUUAAUGUGUAACUGUUUGUCUAUCUACAGAUUCAAUGAAGGGUUCAUUAAAUGCUUCUGUGUAAGUCGUCAAGGUCUCCCAAGACUUCUUCAUGUAUGUGAAAUGAGUUGUGCUGCUCCUGAGUUUUUCCUUAA